This 87-nucleotide small nucleolar RNA is filed under the name Sinocyclocheilus grahami. RNAcentral describes it as "Small nucleolar RNA SNORD100 (ENSSGRG00000025501.1)". It matches the Rfam family "Small nucleolar RNA SNORD100". From Rfam's summary of the family: The members of this family belong to the C/D class of snoRNAs which contain the C (UGAUGA) and D (CUGA) box motifs. Most of the members of the box C/D family function in directing site-specific 2'-O-methylation of substrate RNAs. Lineage: Eukaryota; Metazoa; Chordata; Actinopteri; Cypriniformes; Cyprinidae. The record is from Rfam by way of RNAcentral.
UGUGUCUCUGAUGAUAAAUUGGCUCCCUCUACUGAAGUCUCUUGAGGAUAACUGCCAUUCGUUACCCAAUAUUCUGUCUGAGAUGAA